CAGUCGCCACGGUAAUACGAGGGGGGCAAGCGUUGCUCGGAAUUAUUGGGCGUAAAGGGUGCGUAGGCGGCUUGACAAGUCUUGUGUGAAAUCUAUGGGCUCAACCCAUAGUCUGCACGGGAAACUGUCGGGCUUGAGAAUGGGAGAGGUGAGUGGAAUUUCCGGUGUAGCGGUGAAAUGCGUAGAUAUCGGAAGGAACACCUGUGGCGAAAGCGGCUCACUGGACCAUUUCUGACGCUGAUGCACGAAAGCUAGGGGAGCAAACAGGAUUAGAUACCCCCGUAGUCCCUGUCUCUUAUAC
Molecule: ribosomal RNA, 301 nt
Filed under: uncultured bacterium
Lineage: Bacteria
Description: partial 16S ribosomal RNA
Rfam family: Bacterial small subunit ribosomal RNA
Source: RNAcentral